Long non-coding RNA from Marmota monax (woodchuck), 830 nucleotides. RefSeq lists it as uncharacterized. The record is from RefSeq and is a predicted model, not a curated record. The transcript has 2 exons. NCBI's taxonomy places the organism in Eukaryota, Metazoa, Chordata, Mammalia, Rodentia, Sciuridae.
AAACUGGGCCAUCAGCUCACUGCCGAGCUUGAGAAGAAAUGCGCCUGGAAAGGAGCCGCGACUGUAGAUGGAAUGAGACAGGAACUUCUGUGAAUGAUAUGCCCAGCGUCAUGGCCGCGGUGCGCCGUUAGCGCUCUCGGGACCCCUCCCACUGGCCCUUAGAGCUCAGCCAGCGGCUGCUGUGAGCUCCACCCCCUCAACCGAGAGGCUCCGGGAGCUGGUGUGCAGACCCAGGCCGGCUACCUGGUUUAAAGGAGAUCUGAUCAUGCGGGGCUGGUCACAAGGGGGCCGCCCCCUGGCCCCUCCCCUCUCGACGUGCGGCCCCCAGCCCCGGAUUCUGUCCUCCUGCAGUGAUGAAUGGCACCGCUGUCCCGCGCAGGCAGGCAAACCUCUUCCUGAAACAGAUUCUACUGGAGUCAACAACAGCGACAGAUUUUAGAGGAAAGCCCCUGGAAUGGAGACUCGGGCUUCACCUGGUUCCAGGCCCACUCUCUACAGAAAAAAAAUGAUUAAUCAAGGUGGGGGUAAGGGUUUACAGGAACGACAAGUCUCUGGCAUGAAUCCCUCAGGAACCUUUCAGAAUCUGAUCUCUGGGAAUAAAGUGGAGAGAGGGAUAUUAUCCUUGAGUAUAGAGCAGAGGAAGCAUAAGCAAGGGGUUCAGGCUCAAACAGACCUGAACCUAAGUAUUUCCUGGCUGUAUGACUUCAGGUACAAGACUUAAACUCUCUGAGCCUUACGUUGUGCCAUCUGUUAAAUAAAAUGGGAAUAAUAAUCUUCAUGUAUUAACACUAAAUAAUAAUGCAAAUAAAGUAAAAAGGUCUUUAUGGAAA